GAUGAACGCUGGCGGCAUGCUUAACACAUGCAAGUCAAAUGGAAUUGGGGUGUUUGAAUUAGAUUUGAGUGGCGGACGGGUGAGUAACGCGUAGAGGACUUGCCUCGCAGCUCGGGACAACCUUUGGAAACGGAUUCUAAUACCUAAUAUUAUGAUAAUAGGGCGUCCUAUAUUUAUGAAAGCUAUAAGCGCUGGGAGAGAGCUUUGCGUCCCAUUAGCUGGUUGGGGAGUUAACGACUCACCAGGGCGCUGGUGGGUAGCCGGCCUGAGAGGGUGAUCGGCCACAAGGGCAGUGAGACAGCGCACUUACCCCUACGGGAGGGAGGAGUGGGGUAUUGCAGAAUAGGGACAAAGCGGAUGCUGCAGCAAUGCGUGGGGCACGAUGAAGUUUGUGUGAAUGUAAAGUGUCUCCAGUGGCGAAGAAAGAUAUGACGGUACCAAGAGAAGAAGCGACGGCUAAAUACGUG
This 467-nucleotide ribosomal RNA is filed under the name uncultured bacterium. RNAcentral's name for it is "partial 16S ribosomal RNA". It matches the Rfam family "Bacterial small subunit ribosomal RNA", at positions 28 to 507 of the family's 1533-position model. The record is from RNAcentral.